AUUUCUUUGGGAGAUUAAUGAAAAUGUGUUAAAAUUUAUUGUGGUGAUGGGUAUACAACUCUGGGAAUACACUAAAACCCAUUUAAUUGUGCAUUGAAAAUGAGUUAGUUGUAAUGGUAUGUGACUAAUACCCAAGAAAGCUGUCACCAAAACAAAAAACCCUUGCUGAGGAGAAAUAGUCAGACAUAGAAAUAUGGUCAUGGUAAAUUAUACAACACACACACACACACUAAGGUUGCCAGGAGGCAUUUGGAACAGUCGCCCCCUAACCUCAGCCCAACUCAAUAUUCUCUUUCGUCCGUUCCCUGCCCCCUCCAAGCAGUUUUGAGCCCUCUGUGUAUUCUUUGCAUCUGCAGCUCUCGCUCAAGAACUGGUUAAGUAACAUUUUGCAUAAAUGAGUGAGCAGAAAUGGGCGGAGUGAAGGUCCUAAACGGCCUCACUGAGCGCCCCCAAGUGGCGGCUGAUCUCUCGUAUCACCGUCCAAUACAGGGUUUUCUAUCCCUGCCCCAGACUUCACCACUCCGGCAAGAAGAAAUACACGAUCGCCACGAAGAAGCUCACAACCCUCAGCCUCCUAUGCACAGAUUCAGUUUUUUUGGGCUCAGGAUGGGGAACCUGGCUGGGGGCAGCGCCUUGAACCCUCCCUGAUCCCCAUCCCCAGCUGAAUGCUUCAGCCCCAUGAUCACACCACUGUAUUUUCCAGAUGAGAGGGAGCCACUCUGCUGGACCCUACAUCUCAGCCGGCCUUGAACUAGCCUCACACGGGGCCGAGUUGCGGCCAGAAUGGAGGAAUCACCACGGCGUGGGACACUUUGGUACCAAAAUGAACAACGGAACAAACAAUACCCUAAGAGAAUAUGGCGGCGACCCUUUAAGACCAUCAUUCACAAGCAUUCUGAGGCUUUCCACUCAUUUCCUCCAUUUGAUCUUAUCAGAUAAGAAACAGUUAAGCAGGUUCAGCCCAGGUUCUUAAAAUUCCUACCCCCUCAUUGGCUAUGGCGGAGACAGACUAGAAGACUUGGCUUCCGAAAGUGCGCGGUGAUUGGACAACUCGCCUCAUCGAAAUAAAGCGCUGAUUGGUGUCUUGGACCAGACUCUAGGACGCUGUUGCUAGGUAACGACUGACAGCUGUUUAUGCGCAAGAUGGAGGAGGUUCAGAGGAGGUAAUCAUGUAUUGAGGCCAUGUAGUUCAGCGUGAUUCUCCCUUGGCUGCUUUUGUUCCCUUGGUCCACAAGGCUUUCAAGAGUGUGUCCUGGCUGUAAAAUAAACUGGGCUCCUGUCCUGAGAGAAGUUAAUUCUAGAGUGCUGAGCAUAUUUAUGGAACUUUUACAGCGUGCCAGGUGUGCAACAGCCUAUCCCAGACCUAUCUGGCUGCACAUUCAAUGCUCUGCCCACUGACCUUAUCACUAGGGGUUUCCCUUGUAAGACAUCACGCCCUUGAGCGACUCAGAUCAGGCCUAGAUGCCUGUGAGACUUUAGUGACUUACAGAAGUGUCCUCUCCACUACUCUUGAGGGCAGAGUGGGUAAAAUCAGAACCGUAUUCUAUAUUGCUCCUAAGCACCUCAUACUGUAGCAGUAGUAAUAAAAACAACAACAUAAUGUGCCAGGUACUGGGCAGAAGCAUUUCAAAAAUCUCAUUUGAUUCUUAAAACAAUCCCAUGAAACUGAUAAUCUUGUUUCGCAAUUGGGGAGGCUCACACUUAGUCCAGCAAGAAAAUUCCAAAGUCACACUGAUAAGUCAAGGAGUGCUCAAUUGAACCAAUGCAUCCAACUCUGAAACCCAUGUGUUCUAACCAUUGUGUUAUAUGGCUAUUCUUUUGGCACAGCAGUUGCUCAAAUAUAUUGAAAGAAAAAAAUGUUUACUUUCCCUUUCCCUUGUGGUUCUCCACCCCGUCUCCAAAAAAUAGGUUAUGUUUCUACUUCUGGUGGUCUUCAGUGCACCCUCAUCCCAUUCACCCCCUUUAAAGACCAUAAGGCACAGGAUAUAUGAUAGGCUCCUAGUUCAGGGGAAAGAGCUCAGGUUACAGAGUCAGGGGAAUAUCCCUUAAAUCCUGGCUCCAUCUUGUGGUAGCUAUGUGAUGUAAGCAAGUUACUACAACUUGCC
RNAcentral lists this long non-coding RNA (2105 nucleotides) under Marmota monax (woodchuck). Lineage: Eukaryota; Metazoa; Chordata; Mammalia; Rodentia; Sciuridae. The record is from RNAcentral.